This 569-nucleotide ribosomal RNA is filed under the name uncultured Alphaproteobacteria bacterium. RNAcentral's name for it is "bacterial SSU rRNA". It matches the Rfam family "Bacterial small subunit ribosomal RNA", at positions 38 to 655 of the family's 1533-position model. The record is from RNAcentral. Lineage: Bacteria; Pseudomonadati; Pseudomonadota; Alphaproteobacteria.
GGCGGCAGGCUUAACACAUGCAAGUCGAGCGCCUCGCAAGAGGAGCGGCAGACGGGUGAGUAACACGUGGGAAUCUACCCAUCCUUACGGAACAACUCCGGGAAACUGGAGCUAAUACCGUAUACGCCCUUCGGGGGAAAGAUUUAUCGAGGAUGGAUGAGCCCGCGUUGGAUUAGCUAGUUGGUGGGGUAAAGGCCUACCAAGGCGACGAUCCAUAGCUGGUCUGAGAGGAUGAUCAGCCACAUUGGGACUGAGACACGGCCCAAACUCCUACGGGAGGCAGCAGUGGGGAAUAUUGGACAAUGGGCGCAAGCCUGAUCCAGCCAUGCCGCGUGAGUGAUGAAGGCCCUAGGGUUGUAAAGCUCUUUCACCGGAGAAGAUAAUGACGGUAUCCGGAGAAGAAGCCCCGGCUAACUUCGUGCCAGCAGCCGCGGUAAUACGAAGGGGGCUAGCGUUGUUCGGAUUUACUGGGCGUAAAGCGCACGUAGGCGGAUCGAUCAGUCAGGGGUGAAAUCCCAGAGCUCAACUCUGGAACUGCCUUUGAUACUGUCGAUCUGGAGUAUGGAAGA